This is a transfer RNA of Aspergillus aculeatus ATCC 16872, 81 nucleotides long. It matches the Rfam family "tRNA". Rfam says of the family: Transfer RNA (tRNA) molecules are approximately 80 nucleotides in length. NCBI's taxonomy places the organism in Eukaryota, Fungi, Ascomycota, Eurotiomycetes, Eurotiales, Aspergillaceae. The record is from Rfam.
GACACUUUGACCGAGUGGUUAAGGUGCUGGCCUGCUAAGCCAGUGGGUUCGCCCGCGUGAGUUCGAAUCUCACAGGUGUCG